Molecule: transfer RNA, 73 nt
Filed under: Stegodyphus mimosarum
Lineage: Eukaryota; Metazoa; Arthropoda; Arachnida; Araneae; Eresidae
Rfam family: tRNA
About the family: Transfer RNA (tRNA) molecules are approximately 80 nucleotides in length.
Source: Rfam by way of RNAcentral
GCCUUCGUGGUGUAAUGGUCAGCAUACUCGACGCGUAUUCGAGAGAUCUGAGGUUCGAGUCCCGGCGAGGGCA